AUGGCUCUGGAUGUGAAGUCUCGGGCGAAGGGCUAUGAGAAGCUGGACUUCCUUGGGGAGGGACAGUUUACAAGGCCAGAGAUAAGAAUACCAACCAAAUGGUCGCCAUUAAGAAGGUUAUAAUAAAGGAUAAUAGUCUUGUGCUGAUACCAUCACACAUCAAAGCCUACAUGCUGAUGACUCUUCAAGGAUUAGAAUAUUUACAUCAACAGUGGAUCCUACACAGGGAUCUGAAACCAAACAACCUGUUGCUAGAUGAAAAUGGAGUUCUAAAACUGGCAGAUUUUGGCCUGGCCAAAUCAUUUGGGAGCCCCAAUAGAGCUUAUACAUAUCAGGUUGUAACCAGGUGGUAUCGGGCCCCUGAAUUACUAUUUGGAGCUAGAAUGUAUGGUAUGUGUGUAGACAUGUGGGCCGUUGGCUGUAUAUUAGCAGAGUUACUUCUAAGGAUUCCUUUUUUGCCGGGAGAUUCAGACCUUGAUCAGCUAAUGAGAAUAUUUGAAACUUUGGGCACACCAACUGAGGAACAGUGGCUGGACAUGUGUAGUCUUCCAGAUUGUGUGACAUUUAAGAGUUUUCCUGGAAUUCCAUUGCAUCAUAUCUUCAGUACAGCAGUAGAUGACUUACUAGAUCUCAUACAAGGCUUAUUCUUAUUUAAUCCAUGUGCUCGAAUUACGGCCACAGAGGCACUGAAAAUGAAGUAUUUCAGAAUUGCCAGGGCCAACAUCUGGAUGUCAGCUGCCAACACCAAAUUGUCCAGUGGAAACCUUAAAGGAGCAAUCAAAUCCGGCUUUGGCAACAAAAAGAAAAAGAACAGAUGCCUUGGAACAAAGAGGAUUGCCCAAAAAACUGAUUUUUUUAAACAGAACACUAGCCAACAUUUUACUACUGAAAGAAAGAGUCAAAAAGGGCUUCUAA
Non-coding RNA from Saimiri boliviensis boliviensis (Bolivian squirrel monkey), 915 nucleotides. NCBI's taxonomy places the organism in Eukaryota, Metazoa, Chordata, Mammalia, Primates, Cebidae. The record is from RefSeq and is a predicted model, not a curated record.